Long non-coding RNA from Rosa rugosa (rugosa rose), 2794 nucleotides. RefSeq lists it as uncharacterized. Lineage: Eukaryota; Viridiplantae; Streptophyta; Magnoliopsida; Rosales; Rosaceae. The transcript is spliced from 3 exons. The record is from RefSeq and is a predicted model, not a curated record.
CCUCCCUCCUCUGUUGGUUGCUGUUGUUGUGGUUCCAUUUGUUGCGGGGUUUGGAGCUCCAUUAGUUGCAGAGUUCGUGGCUCUUGGGUCAUGAGGUGAGAGGAUGUGAAUAUCGAGGAAUACAUGGGUUAGUGUUUGAGGGAGAUUUUGUUAGAAGGAUUGGAGUUGUUGAACUGGUGAUUGGAGAUCUGAGAUUCUCAGAGGAAAGAUGAAAUCGAAUCUUCAAAUGGGAGAGAAGAUCAGAAGAGAAGGAUUGAAAUUGAUGAAGAAAGGAUUUGAGUUUCGAGAGGAAGACUGCAGAGUUUGAGAGAGAAUGGCUGGGGAAAAUUUCUUUUCUUUGGUGUGAACAGUUUUUCUCCAGGAUGCACCUAUUUAUAGAACGAGGUGAGCAGAUCUCCACCGUUGGAUGGACGAUCUCUGAGAUUCAAUCUACGCGUUGGAUUAAAGUCGCCCUGAAACCCGGAAAAGUUGUUGACGCGUGGAGAGCGUGUAAGGGGACCGAGGGAACCUCGAGGCGCUGUGGCAGACAGCUGUAGCCGAAAGCAGAUUUGACUGCCGUAAAUCACGGAAGGGAUAAGCCGUGACACAAGUGGGCCGUACUUGGGCCUGUCUCGGAUAAAGGCAUCACUGUAGCUGUGGGUGGAGGCCUGAUGGGCCGAGUUUCAGAAACAGUUUUGGACAUGAUGGGCCGAGUUUCUGAAACAGUUUUGGAUGAGUUGGGCCGGAUUUCUGUAACAGUUUUGGAUACGUUGGGCUGGGUUUCUGCAACAGUCUUGGAUGUUUUGGGCCGAAUUGUUGAAACAGUUGGUUUAAAUAAAAGGAUUGGUAUGGAUAAUAACGUGAGCAGCCGUGCUCGAGUGGUUGAGUGUAAAGUUCGUGUACAAGAGGUCUGAGGUUCGAACCUCGCCUCUCGUUUAUUUUUAUUAUGUUCGUUUAAGACAUAAUAAGUUUAACGUUUGUACACAUUAUAUUAAGCAUAGCUUGUGCUCCAGUGGUUGGGAGCGAAGCAUUGGUUUAGGGGGUCUGGAGUUCGAGACUUGCCUCCACUUAUAUUUUAUUUAUGUCGCUUAUGACAUAAUAAAUAUAACAAGUGAGCAUAUAUUAAUGAAAGCAGUUCUUGCUUCAGUGGUUGGGAGCAAGACCUUCGUGUUUGAGGUCAGGAGUUCGAAACUUACCUCUUACAUUAUUUUUGGAAUCUUGUAUAUACUCAGUAUACGGACGUAUUUUUAUACGUAGAGCAGUAGUUUCGAAAAUUUCUACAGUUUAUUCUGUAUAAACUACAGAAAACUUUAAAUCGGGAGAAAUGGACUCGCGAUUAAAUUUCGGGACGAAAUUUCUUUAAGGAGGGUAGAUUGUAAUACCCGCAAUUUUCCAUUUCGUCUCGUGAAAUUGUGCGAAUUGAUUAAAGUGCUUUUGCACGAAUAUUACCCGAAAUAAUUCAACUUUUUGAAUUAUCGAAGUUUCGAAAUAUUCGUUUUAACAAAAGCUCGAAUUGUGCGAUUCAAGAAAAAUCGACUUUUCUACGUACGGAAUUUGGGAAAAACUUCCUUCAUAAAAGUUGUAGAGCUCGUCGAUAUGAUCGCGUGCAUAUGUCGAACGAAAUUUUUGGAGUUCGUACGAUUAUGUUACGAAUUUUGGAAAUAUGAGAUUCUUUUUAUAAUCUCUUUUCCUCGGAUUCUCUUUUAGAAAUUUCUUUUUCUUCCUUUUCCUUUUCCUUUUCCUUUCCUCCGGGUCUCCUUCCUUCUUUUUCUUUUUCUCUUUUUUUUUCUUCUUUCUCUCUCUCGCUCGACCGAAACCGAAAACAGAGCAAAGGCUCUUCGGUCUCUCUCUACCUCCACCGGCCACCAAACGGCGUCGAACCACUUCCUUUUGCUUCGUCUCAGCCUUGCGCAGCUGCCAGAGGCAGCCUUGCACCGUGACACGGCCACCAGCGGCGGCGGGAAGCUCCGCCCGGUUUGAGCUCGUUUUGGAAACAAGCUUGAUAUCUCAAGCUACCGGUCACCAAUCCUCACCAAAAUCCAUCCACAAGCUCGCCUCAACUUCCUGAAACUCCCAGAAGCAGCCUCACACGGCGGCGUGGCCCGUAGCAGUGGCUGCAAGUCAAACCCAACCAAGAACGAGACCGGAGCUAUCGAUCAAGAUAUCUCGAGCUGUAGUGCAUCGUUUUGAUUGAUUCUUUUUCCAGUGGGUUCCCCUUGAUGUUAUUAACAACUCUCUAGAAGGCAUCGAGGCCUGAAAUUGAAGCUUUGACGUCGAAAUCGAGCCUUGCCGGAUUCUGCAAAAUUCUGGAAUUUUUCCGACCACCGAAGCUUUCGAUCGGUAUAUCUCGAGCUACAGACCAUAUUUUUCUGUGAUUCUUGAACCAGUGAGUUCUUCUUGAGUUUCUUAACAACUCUUCAGAAGGAAUCGAAGCCUUAAAUUGACGUUUUUACGUCGAAUUGGAGCUCGCCGUUUUCUGCAGUUUCUCGCCGGUUUCUGGAAAAUUCCGGCCACCUUCAUACUGUUCAAGGUGAUCGACGGUUUGAUUUGGCGGACGAUUCGUGAAAUUGUAUUUUGAGCUGUUAAGAAGACGCAGCGGGAAUUUAGAGCGGGUAAUCCUACAGGACAGGAGAACCAGGACGGUGAUCGUGCGGUUAGAGCAAUGGUUAUAGUUUUACAGCAAUUGUAAUAGUGAGGCGAGUUAAGCUCAUUUGAGCAUUACAAUUUGAUUUGGUGGGAGUGUGCUGUAAUAAAUAACUUGAGGAUUUGGGUUAUUGUAAAUUUGAGAGUUGUGAAGUGUGGUUGUUUGUGAGAA